AACGAACGCUGGCGGCAUGCCUAACACAUGCAAGUCGAACGAGACCUUCGGGUCUAGUGGCGCACGGGUGCGUAACGCGUGGGAAUCUACCCUUGGGUUCGGAAUAACAGGUAGAAAUGACUGCUAAUACCGGAUGAUGACGUAAGUCCAAAGAUUUAUCGCCCAGGGAUGAGCCCGCGUAAGAUUAGCUUGUUGGUGGGGUAAUGGCCUACCAAGGCGACGAUCUUUAGCUGGUCUGAGAGGAUGAUCAGCCACACUGGGACUGAGACACGGCCCAGGCUCCUACGGGAGGCAGUAGUGGGGAAUAUUGGACAAUGGGCGUAAGCCUGAUCCAGCAAUGCCGCGUGAGUGAUGAAGGCCUUAGGGUUGUAAAGCUCUUUUACCAGGGAUGAUAAUGACAGUACCUGGAGAAUAAGCACCGGCUAACUCUGUGCCAGCCGCCGCCGUAA
Molecule: ribosomal RNA, 449 nt
Filed under: uncultured bacterium
Lineage: Bacteria
Description: partial 16S ribosomal RNA
Rfam family: Bacterial small subunit ribosomal RNA
Source: RNAcentral